GGAGCGGUGUCCGAGCGGCUGAAGGAGAUGGUUUCGACAACCAUUGUACUCGUAAGGGUUCCGGGGGUUCGAAUCCCCCCUGCUCCG
Molecule: transfer RNA, 87 nt
Filed under: Spirochaetaceae bacterium
Lineage: Bacteria; Pseudomonadati; Spirochaetota; Spirochaetia; Spirochaetales; Spirochaetaceae
Description: tRNA-Ser
Rfam family: tRNA
About the family: Transfer RNA (tRNA) molecules are approximately 80 nucleotides in length. Their secondary structure includes four short double-helical elements and three loops (D, anti-codon, and T loops). Further hydrogen bonds mediate the characteristic L-shaped molecular structure. tRNAs have two regions of fundamental functional importance: the anti-codon, which is responsible for specific mRNA codon recognition, and the 3' end, to which the tRNAs corresponding amino acid is attached (by aminoacyl-tRNA synthetases). tRNAs cope with the degeneracy of the genetic code in two manners: having more than one tRNA (with a specific anti-codon) for a particular amino acid; and 'wobble' base-pairing, i.e. permitting non-standard base-pairing at the 3rd anti-codon position.
Source: RNAcentral